Pelobates cultripes (western spadefoot toad) is the source of this 181-nucleotide non-coding RNA. NCBI's taxonomy places the organism in Eukaryota, Metazoa, Chordata, Amphibia, Anura, Pelobatidae. The record is from the annotation of a GenBank genome assembly.
AGCCAAACUAGUAAUCCAAAUGAACGAAUGGCACAUUCAUUCAGUACACAUUGGUUAGUUCGACUCACUCACCUUAGAUUUGAUGGGAGUGAGCAGAACUAACGAAUGAGCACAGAAUGAAUGUGCCAUUUUUUCAUUUGGGUUACUAGUUUGGCUCUUUGAUUUACAGACAAUGUAAUUU